This 253-nucleotide ribosomal RNA is filed under the name uncultured bacterium. RNAcentral describes it as "partial 16S ribosomal RNA". It matches the Rfam family "Bacterial small subunit ribosomal RNA", at positions 524 to 776 of the family's 1533-position model. The record is from RNAcentral.
UACGUAGGGGGCAAGCGUUGUCCGGAAUCCUUGGGCGUAAAGAGCGUGUAGGCGGCCCGAUAAGUCCGCUGUGAAAGUCCAGGGCUCAACACUGGAAUGCCGGUGGAUACUGUCGGGCUCGAAUCCGGAAGAGGUGAGUGGAAUUCCUGGUGUAGCGGUGAAAUGCGCAGAUAUCAGGAGGAACACCAAUGGCGAAAGCGAGCUACUGGACAAUAUCUGACGCUGAGGCUCGAAGGCCAGGGUAGCGAAAGGG